GAUGAACGCUGGCGGCGUGCCUAAUACAUGCAAGUCGAGCGAACAGACGAGGAGCUUGCUCCUCUGACGUUAGCGGCGGACGGGUGAGUAACACGUGGAUAACCUACCUAUAAGACUGGGAUAACUUCGGGAAACCGGAGCUAAUACCGGAUAAUAUAUUGAACCGCAUGGUUCAAUAGUGAAAGACGGUUUUGCUGUCACUUAUAGAUGUAUCCGCGCCGCAUUAGCUAGUUGGUAAGGUAACGGCUUACCAAGGCAACGAUGCGUAGCCGACCUGAGAGGGUGAUCGGCCACACUGGAACUGAGACACGGUCCAGACUCCUACGGGAGGCAGCAGUAGGGAAUCUUCCGAAAUGGGCGAAAGCCUGAAGGAGCAACGCCGCGUGAGUGAUGAAGGUCUUCGGAUCGUAAAACUCUGUUAUUAGGGAAGAACAAAUGUGGAAGUAACUAUGCACGUCUUGACGGUACCUAAUCAGAAAGCCACGGCUAACUACGUG
This 497-nucleotide ribosomal RNA is filed under the name uncultured bacterium. Its description in RNAcentral is "partial 16S ribosomal RNA". It matches the Rfam family "Bacterial small subunit ribosomal RNA", at positions 28 to 507 of the family's 1533-position model. The record is from RNAcentral.